CAGUAGCCGCGGGAAUACGAAGGGUGCAAGCGUUACUCGGAAUUACUGGGCGUAAAGCGUGCGUAGGUGGUGGUUUAAGUCCGUUGUGAAAGCCCUGGGCUCAACCUGGGAAUUGCAGUGGAUACUGGGUCACUAGAGUGUGGUAGAGGAUAGUGGAAUUUCCGGUGUAGCAGUGAAAUGCGUAGAGAUCGGAAGGAACAUCUGUGGCGAAGGCGACUAUCUGGGCCAACACUGACACUGAGGCACGAAAGCGUAAGGAGCAAACAGGAUUAGAUACCCCCGUAGUCCCUGUCUCUUAUAC
This 301-nucleotide ribosomal RNA is filed under the name uncultured bacterium. RNAcentral's name for it is "partial 16S ribosomal RNA". It matches the Rfam family "Bacterial small subunit ribosomal RNA", at positions 509 to 812 of the family's 1533-position model. The record is from RNAcentral.